This 434-nucleotide ribosomal RNA is filed under the name uncultured Oscillospiraceae bacterium. RNAcentral describes it as "bacterial SSU rRNA". It matches the Rfam family "Bacterial small subunit ribosomal RNA", at positions 341 to 792 of the family's 1533-position model. Lineage: Bacteria; Bacillati; Bacillota; Clostridia; Eubacteriales; Oscillospiraceae. The record is from RNAcentral.
ACGGAAGGCAGCAGUGGGGAAUAUUGGGCAAUGGGCGCAAGCCUGACCCAGCGACGCCGCGUGAAGGAAGAAGGUCUUCGGAUUGUAAACUUUAGUACUCGGGGACGAGCAAAGACGGUACCCGGGGUUAAGCCACGGCUAACUACGUGCCAGCAGCCGCGGUAAUACGUAGGUGGCGAGCGUUAUCCGGAUUUACUGGGUGUAAAGGGUGUGUAGGCGGGACUGCAAGUCAGAUGUGAAAAUUACGGGCUCAACUCGUAACCUGCAUUUGAAACUGUGGUUCUUGAGUGUCGGAGAGGUAAAUGGAAUUCCUGGUGUAGCGGUGAAAUGCGUAGAUAUCAGGAGGAACACCGGUGGCGAAGGCGAUUUACUGGACGACAACUGACGCUGAGACACGAAAGUAUGGGGAGCAAACAGGAUUAGAUACCCUGGUA